GCCAUAUCUUUUUCUUCUUCUUCUUUUCCUUUUUUGUUCUUAAUACAAAGCAAUGGAUUUGACUACUAAGGAGCAUCUCGCAGUGUUAAUUAAAUAUUUUGAAAAGGAAUCAUAGGUUUAUGUUCAAGCUAAGGUUUAUGCUAAUGGUCAUGCUUUUCAACUUUGCAACAAAGGAUUUUCGGUUGAUUCAAGGAUGCAUCCGAAUAUAUACUAGGACUAUAAUAAUGUAAUACCUCAC
RNAcentral lists this long non-coding RNA (238 nucleotides) under Elaeis guineensis (African oil palm). RNAcentral describes it as "long non-coding RNA (EGUI_LNC075636)". The record is from RNAcentral. Lineage: Eukaryota; Viridiplantae; Streptophyta; Magnoliopsida; Arecales; Arecaceae.